GACGAACGCUGGCGGCGUGCUUAACACAUGCAAGUCGAACGGAAAGGCCCUGCUUUUGUGGGGUGCUCGAGUGGCGAACGGGUGAGUAACACGUGAGUAACCUGCCCUUGACUUUGGGAUAACUUCAGGAAACUGGGGCUAAUACCGGAUAGGAGCUCCUGCUGCAUGGUGGGGGUUGGAAAGUUUCGGCGGUUGGGGAUGGACUCGCGGCUUAUCAGCUUGUUGGUGGGGUAGUGGCUUACCAAGGCUUUGACGGGUAGCCGGCCUGGGAGGGUGACCGCCCACAUUGGGCCUGAGAUACGGCCCAGACUCCUACGGUAGGCAGCAGUGGAGAAUAUUGCACAGUGGGCGGAGGCCUGAUGCAGCAACGCCGCGUGCGGGAUGACGGCCUUCGGGUUGUAAACCGCUUUCGCCUGUGACGAAGCUUGAGUGACGGUAAUGGGUAAAGAAGCACCGGCUAACUACGUG
This 468-nucleotide ribosomal RNA is filed under the name uncultured bacterium. RNAcentral's name for it is "partial 16S ribosomal RNA". It matches the Rfam family "Bacterial small subunit ribosomal RNA", at positions 28 to 507 of the family's 1533-position model. The record is from RNAcentral.